UACGUAGGUGGCAAGCGUUGUCCGGAUUUACUGGGCGUAAAGGGCGUGCAGGCGGUUUGUUAAGUGCAGGGUGAAAGCUCCCGGCUCAACUGGGAGAGGUCCUUGCAUACUGGCAGACUUGAGGGAGGCAGAGGAAAGUGGAAUUCCCGGUGUAGUGGUGAUAUGCGUAGAUAUCGGGAGGAACACCAGUGGCGAAGGCGGCACUCUGGGCCGGAACUGACGCUGAGGAGCGAAAGCGUGGGGAGCGAACAGG
RNAcentral lists this ribosomal RNA (253 nucleotides) under uncultured bacterium. Its description in RNAcentral is "partial 16S ribosomal RNA". It matches the Rfam family "Bacterial small subunit ribosomal RNA", at positions 524 to 776 of the family's 1533-position model. The record is from RNAcentral.